AACCUGGAUUUCCUUUGACCCACCAUACUCUCCUAGAUCUAGAAAUAGGGACAGAGCAGAAUCCGAUCUUCCAUUUUCCUUCAAUUGGGUUUAAAUGAUUCGGGCCUAUCUUGUUUCUUACAACCAUGUUGCCUCCAACUGAAAGCCGGUCUAUUUUCGAAGACAAGAAAGCUAUCGCUACCUUCAGCUCGACAAGUUGGAUUUCCAUCUCCUUUAAGGAAUUGUGCAUCUCAACAAGCUGGUCCUGAGACGUGAUUUGCGGAUCCCCUUCACUCUGAACUCCCGAAGCAUGACUGGUCUUUAGAGCUACAGCAUAGGAUCGCCUCGCCACUGAGGAUGUACUAGGAUCUUUGUGCACCUCCAAGUUUUCCUUCGCUGACACGCCACCGACAUGUCUGCUACACGACUCCCUAGCAGAGCCACGUCCUGCAGCACCUUGUCCUUCCAAACCACGCAGCACCUCCC
Molecule: long non-coding RNA, 465 nt
Organism: Juglans microcarpa x Juglans regia
Lineage: Eukaryota; Viridiplantae; Streptophyta; Magnoliopsida; Fagales; Juglandaceae
Exons: 3
Source: RefSeq, a predicted model, not a curated record